RNAcentral lists this transfer RNA (144 nucleotides) under Candidatus Aenigmatarchaeota archaeon. Its description in RNAcentral is "tRNA-Thr". It matches the Rfam family "tRNA". Rfam says of the family: Transfer RNA (tRNA) molecules are approximately 80 nucleotides in length. Their secondary structure includes four short double-helical elements and three loops (D, anti-codon, and T loops). Further hydrogen bonds mediate the characteristic L-shaped molecular structure. tRNAs have two regions of fundamental functional importance: the anti-codon, which is responsible for specific mRNA codon recognition, and the 3' end, to which the tRNAs corresponding amino acid is attached (by aminoacyl-tRNA synthetases). tRNAs cope with the degeneracy of the genetic code in two manners: having more than one tRNA (with a specific anti-codon) for a particular amino acid; and 'wobble' base-pairing, i.e. permitting non-standard base-pairing at the 3rd anti-codon position. The record is from RNAcentral. Lineage: Archaea; Nanobdellati; Candidatus Aenigmatarchaeota.
GCCUCAGUAGCUCAGUCUGGUAGACCCUUUUGUGCUGUAAACGCACAAAAGCCUCUACGGAAAGUACGCUUCCGCACGAACGGUCGGACAAAGAGUGCGUGAUUGGUAAUCACGAGGUCCCGGGUUCAAACCCCGGCUGGGGCU